GUCAGAUUAAAUAAUAAAAUGGAGUCAGAUUUGAGUUUAACCUAAAAUGAAUAACUCUACGCGCUGAAAGACAGAACACGCAGGAAACCUUCAUCCAGCACCGGAUACCUUCCUUGGGCCGAGUGUCUGGACCUUACAAAGUGGUGACCCCGACGUGAUCUCCCUAAUUAUGCAAGUGACGUCUUUCCAGUGCUAAUUUCAGAUUGAUUCUCUCUGAAGACAUAAGGUUUGAGCUUCUUCCCUGUCUACAACUGCUGUGGUUGACCACUGCAAUUCUUUGGAGGACAGAUACCAGGAGGGUGUCUUGUCCCCUCUGCACCAAGCCAGGACAACAGAAUUGUUACAUAACCUGAAAAGUGGGAGAUGGAUGCGGAGACACUUGAAGGGGCCAUUCACACCUCACAGGAGAACAUCACCACACAAAUAUCUACAUGGCCUCCCGGAUUAGAACCGGAACUAAAUUUUUGCAACACAGAUUGCUAUAGAUUAGACUCCAUUCAUC
Long non-coding RNA from Carassius auratus (goldfish), 502 nucleotides. RefSeq lists it as uncharacterized. The record is from RefSeq and is a predicted model, not a curated record. The transcript is spliced from 2 exons. Lineage: Eukaryota; Metazoa; Chordata; Actinopteri; Cypriniformes; Cyprinidae.